RNAcentral lists this transfer RNA (76 nucleotides) under Oscillospiraceae bacterium. RNAcentral's name for it is "tRNA-Ala". It matches the Rfam family "tRNA". Rfam says of the family: Transfer RNA (tRNA) molecules are approximately 80 nucleotides in length. Their secondary structure includes four short double-helical elements and three loops (D, anti-codon, and T loops). Lineage: Bacteria; Bacillati; Bacillota; Clostridia; Eubacteriales; Oscillospiraceae. The record is from RNAcentral.
GGGGGUAUAGCUCAGCUGGGAGAGCGCCUGCAUGGCAUGCAGGAGGUCAGCGGUUCGAACCCGCUUAUCUCCACCA